Small nucleolar RNA from Rhododendron vialii, 64 nucleotides. RefSeq annotates it as small nucleolar RNA snoR101. Lineage: Eukaryota; Viridiplantae; Streptophyta; Magnoliopsida; Ericales; Ericaceae. The record is from RefSeq and is a predicted model, not a curated record. The transcript has a single exon.
GGCUUACACUUGAUCUCUAAACUUCAGGUAAGUUAUGUUGAAAAGUCUACACACGACUGAUGUC